This 554-nucleotide ribosomal RNA is filed under the name uncultured bacterium. RNAcentral describes it as "partial 16S ribosomal RNA". It matches the Rfam family "Bacterial small subunit ribosomal RNA", at positions 355 to 902 of the family's 1533-position model. The record is from RNAcentral.
UGGGGAAUUUUGGACAAUGGGCGAAAGCCUGAUCCAGCAAUGCCGCGUGUGAAGAAGGCCUUCGGGUUGUAAAGCACUUUUGUCCGGAAAGAAAUCCUCUGGGUUAAUACCUCGGGGGGAUGACGGUACCGGAAGAAUAAGCACUGGCUAACUACGUGCCAGCAGCCGCGGUAAUACGUAGGGUGCAAGCGUUAAUCGGAAUUACUGGGCGUAAAGCGUGCGCAGGCGGUUUUGUAAGACGGAUGUGAAAUCCCCGGGCUUAACCUGGGAACUGCAUUCGUGACUGCAAGGCUAGAGUAUGGCAGAGGGGGGUAGAAUUCCACGUGUAGCAGUGAAAUGCGUAGAGAUGUGGAGGAAUACCGAUGGCGAAGGCAGCCCCCUGGGCCAAUACUGACGCUCAUGCACGAAGGCGUGGGGAGCAAACAGGAUUAGAUACCCUGGUAGUCCACGCCCUAAACGAUGUCAACUAGUUGUUGGGGGAUUCAUUUCCUUAGUAACGUAGCUAACGCGUGAAGUUGGACCGCCUGGGGAGUACGGUCGCAAGAUUAAAACUC